Molecule: transfer RNA, 83 nt
Filed under: Podarcis lilfordi (Lilford's wall lizard)
Lineage: Eukaryota; Metazoa; Chordata; Lepidosauria; Squamata; Lacertidae
Description: tRNA.Val
Source: RNAcentral
AUCUCUUGAUUCUGGCUAGCUCAGAUGGUUAGAGCGUGGUGCUGACAAUGCCAAGGUUGCAGGUUUGAUCCCCAUAUGGGACA